Molecule: long non-coding RNA, 533 nt
Organism: Tachysurus vachellii
Lineage: Eukaryota; Metazoa; Chordata; Actinopteri; Siluriformes; Bagridae
Exons: 2
Source: RefSeq, a predicted model, not a curated record
CCUACAGCAAGUCAUACUCCAGAGUGUUAAAGUCUGUAAACUAAUAUUUUGGCCCCUAAACAUAUCUGUCUUUUUACAGUCUUUCCAGUAAAACACACUAAAAGAGCAAGACGCUUCCUAGUUCUUUAUUGGAGACUGUUAGCUAUCAGUAAAGCUAGUUCACACACACUAGUAAAGGCAGAAUAAAUACCAUUUAAACAAUAGCACCACCUAUCCUUUUGGGUGAUAACAUCUGUAACAAUUAACCAAGUCAAUGUGUACGUGAACAUGAUUAUCAUUUAAAGACUUCCGGGCAUCAAAUAGCCAUUUUUGUGCUACUCAAUUCUUACACUCAAUUUGCAUUUAUAUCAAAAAUUUAAAUUACAAACAUGAAAAAUGGUAUAAAAUUUUUGAACAGGAUUUGUCCUACAAUCUUCUUGACUCUGAUGAAUCCAAAAUACUCCAUGUAUUGUCACUGCUACACUGUAAAAAACUACUUCGUUAAUAUCUUCGAUGCCUUCAAUGUAUUAUUUUCUAAAUAAAAUGUGAUUAUA